CGGGAGAAGCUUGCCCACGCGGUCGCAACACGCUAUGCGCGUGCAUGCACGCACGACCAAACACAGGACGUACGCACUGUGCGCACGUCCCAUCUAUACAAGGGUGAGGCUAGUCUGCGCAUGAGUCACGUCGUUCAUAGAUAGGGCAAUCUGCAUGCAUCACAUCGCACGCAGACAGGGGCCAAACGUCACAUGCCAUCUGCGCAAUAGACCUGCGCAAAUAAGCCUACACGCGGUAGGGUAUACUGGUGCCUAUGGGAUAGGCCUAUAAUGCGCAGCCAGCCUAGUGAGGCACACUGCCAGCUCGGGUAGUGUGCUGCCCACUCGUGUGCCCUGCACUGCUUUGGGCAGUGUGCCAUCGCCUUGGGUGGAGAGCUACUACCGAUUGAGGAUUCUUCCUCCAGUUUUUGUGCCCCUAUCGCGUCGCAUUAAAUUGCUCAUCUUUCACUCAACCUUCUUUCUCCUCACCAGAUUUCACCACUUGGCGCAACUCCAACGGUCCCCAUUUUCUAUAAAUAGGGAACCCUUUCUUCCAUUUUUCCUCAUCACUUCCAUUUUAUUCUUCCAUCUUCUAAGGGCUUAGAGAGAGAGGGAGUAAUCUAGAGAGAGAAUGAGAGGAGAAGAAGAAGAAGAAAGGUGUAGGAAAACUUUGAGGUUUUGGUAAUAAAUUUAGUAUUUCCUUAAACAUCUUAAAGAGCAUUUCUAGAAAAUCGUAUUAUAAAGUUUGUCUUUCAUGUUUUGUUUUUUGCAUGUUUUAUGUUUAAUAAGUAAUUUGUUCUUGAUUUCAAGCAUACUAAGUGAUUUUAUAGGGAUUUAAUGAUUUACAUGUAAAUUAAAUAGCUUGAAUCCGGUGAUAAUUUUCUAAAAUAUUUGUAAAAAAAAGAGAAAAGAGAAGGAGAAUGAGUCUGAAUGGUUCAAAAAAAAUAUAUGUAUCUAUAUUGACAUGCAUAAUGCAUCAAGUGUCCCAUUAGGCUAUUUAUCUGUGAGAAGUAUCUAUUUCCCCCUCCUCCAUCUGGUCUGAAAAGAUGUGAGAGGAGCGCUCCCUGUGGAUGAUGGCUUACCCUUUAACGAGAGCGGUGAUGUGAAUAUCUGUUAGAGGUCACCUUUGGCUAAGUACUAUUGUGGCUAAAAAAUAUCUCAUAAGACCACUGUGGUUGGUAUGACCAUCGUCAUAGACCGUACCAUGGUCUGGCAAGCUAGAAAUGUGCCUAAGUAAAUUAACAUUAAAUAUCUUAUCUGGCCAUUCCACAUGGGUAGUCAGACAUCCGUAUCUACCCUCACAGAUGGAAGUUGGAACGAUUUUUCAAAGCAUGA
Molecule: long non-coding RNA, 1314 nt
Filed under: Carica papaya (papaya)
Lineage: Eukaryota; Viridiplantae; Streptophyta; Magnoliopsida; Brassicales; Caricaceae
Description: long non-coding RNA (CPAP_LNC000116)
Source: RNAcentral